RNAcentral lists this transfer RNA (121 nucleotides) under Schizophyllum amplum. Its description in RNAcentral is "Auriculariopsis ampla tRNA". It matches the Rfam family "tRNA". Rfam says of the family: Transfer RNA (tRNA) molecules are approximately 80 nucleotides in length. Lineage: Eukaryota; Fungi; Basidiomycota; Agaricomycetes; Agaricales; Schizophyllaceae. The record is from Rfam by way of RNAcentral.
GGCGAGAUGGCCGAGCGGUCUAAGGCGCCAGACUAAGGAUCAGUCAAUGAUCGUUGACAACCCUGAAAAUAAGCUUUUCAUCUGGUCCUCCGGGGCGUGGGUUCGAAUCCCACUCUCGUCA